RNAcentral lists this ribosomal RNA (250 nucleotides) under uncultured bacterium. Its description in RNAcentral is "partial 16S ribosomal RNA". It matches the Rfam family "Bacterial small subunit ribosomal RNA", at positions 524 to 773 of the family's 1533-position model. RNAcentral also lists the same sequence under 1 other name. The record is from RNAcentral.
UACGGAGGAUGCGAGCGUUAUCCGGAUUUAUUGGGUUUAAAGGGUGCGUAGGCGGAAUGGUAAGUCAGUGGUGAAAUGGUGCAGCUCAACUGUAGCAUUGCCAUUGAUACUGUCAUUCUUGAGUACAGAUGAGGUAGGCGGAAUGUGGUGUGUAGCGGUGAAAUGCUUAGAUAUACCACAGAACACCGAUUGCGAAGGCAGCUUACUAAGCUGACACUGACGCUGAAGCACGAAAGCGUGGGUAUCAAAC